GAUGAACGCUAGCUACAGGCUUAACACAUGCAAGUCGCGGGGCAGCAUGUUGGUUGCUUGCAACCGAUGAUGGCGACCGGCGCACGGGUGAGUAACACGUAUCCAACCUGCCUAUUACCACGGUAUAACCCGAUGAAAGUCGGCCUAAUCCCGUAUGUAGUCUUCCAAUGGCAUCAGCAGUAGACGAAAGGUUUAGCGGUAAUGGAUGGGGAUGCGUCCGAUUAGCUAGUCGGUGAGGUAACGGCUCACCGAGGCUACGAUCGGUAGGGGUUCUGAGAGGAAGGUCCCCCACACUGGAACUGAGACACGGUCCAGACUCCUACGGGAGGCAGCAGUGAGGAAUAUUGGUCAAUGGGCGAGAGCCUGAACCAGCCAAGUAGCGUGCAGGAUGACGGCCUUAUGGGUUGUAAACUGCUUUUAUGCGAGGAUAAAGGUACCCACGUGUGGGUGUUUGCAGGU
RNAcentral lists this ribosomal RNA (459 nucleotides) under Hoylesella marshii. Its description in RNAcentral is "bacterial SSU rRNA". It matches the Rfam family "Bacterial small subunit ribosomal RNA", at positions 28 to 476 of the family's 1533-position model. The record is from RNAcentral. Lineage: Bacteria; Pseudomonadati; Bacteroidota; Bacteroidia; Bacteroidales; Prevotellaceae.